CGAGCCCUCUCUCUCUUUCCGUUUUCCCGGCCACCGCCCUCCACCCUCAACCCAUUCCAGAGUUUUUUAAGAGGGGAUCAUCAUCCCCAUUCCUCGUCUUCUCUCUCUCUCUCUCAUCAUCAUCACCCCCCCUCCCUAACCCCCUCUAGAUUCAAGAAGCAGAACGGCUCCGGCGUUGAUAUCUUCGCCCGCCUCUUCGCCGCUUCCUUGGAUCCCGACUUCGCCCCCCUCUCCCUCGAACCGCGGAUCCUCAAGUCCCGCCUCAUCGCCGGCGAGACCCUCUACGGCCUCUUCCUCCUGCGCUCCUCCCCGACCCUCGCCGAGAUCCCCGACCCUCGCCGCCGCCCGCACCCCGGCCAUCCUCCGCCUUCCGGAGCUCUCCGCCGCCUGGGCCAAGAAGGCCCUUGAUCUCGGCCCCCAGGGACUCAUGUUCCCCAUGAUCGAGUCCCCCGGCACCACUGUUAUCCUUCUCGGUUUCCAGCACUACCUGGUUAUGCUUGGCACCACUGUUAUCAUUCCUACUGCUCUUGUUCCUCAGAUGGGUGGAGGAAAUGAUGAGAAAGCUCAGGUGAUCCAGACAUUACUGUUUGUGGCCGGCUUAAACACUCUGUUACAGACCUUGUUUGGAACUCGUUUACAAGGUCAAUUUUCUAAACCAAUUGACUAUCUUGGUUUCUGAACAAAACACUUGAAAAUACUAAUGAGAUUUCAUGAACAGGCCUUCUAGUGUACAUUGGGACAAGUUUCUUCUCUUUAGGUUCUUCCAAAGCUUCCUGCCUUUCUUUGUGUUUGAAGUAUGAUAUCUGUUGUAAUUGGAAUGUAAUUAUGCUCUGUCAGGUUUUUAAUUUUAAGUAGGUUGAAGCAGUAUAAUAGGAGAGACGGGUCUGGACUGUCAAGUCUCUGUGAAGGAUUUGGGGUUUUGUUUGAUUUUCUUGCAUGUGCUUCUGAAGCAGGUAUCUCUUAGUUAUGGAAAUCCUAGUUGCAGAGAUUUAUUCAUGUCAGUGGUUGCUUUUAGGAUUGUUUUUGCAGCUCAAAUUCAUGGAUUAUGGUUGAAAUACGGAUGUACCUCUUAUGAGUCCCAGAGACUGCAGGGUUGUCAUGGACGCAGAAGAUCUGUAUAUGCCAUGUCAUGAAAAAUAUUUUGCAGCGUCUUGGAGGAAACAAAUAUUUGAGUAUUGUUUAUGAUAAAUAAUCUGCCAACGGAUCUAGUAGCAAGCUGCUAGAAUAUGGUUUGUGCUUGUUGUUCUCAGUCAACCUCCUUCAUCCACUCACACUAAUUAUCCAGGAUCAAUUUUUUGGGGAUGCACCAUCUGAUAAUCGAAUCGAGAACUUCUGGUUGCUAAGCGGAAGGUUGACUGCUGGGGCAGAUCCCAAUUCUAAAAAACAACUUGAUUGGUUGCAAGGAUUAAAUGGAAAGCAUUUUCCAAAUAUACGAGGAGCUGAAUUUGUUUGGGGUAUGGAGGCUGGGUGAGUUUGCCCAUCGACCAAACAGAAUUUGCUGUGUGAAGUGGCAGCCUUUGGAUGGUGGUCUUGUCAUUUGUGAAAUUAACAUUUGCCCCCAGGAUUACUUUGGCUUCUGAAGGAGAGGCUAAAACUGAGAAAAGCUAUUGCUAUUUUCUUGUGUAGCAUAAAUCAGUGCAUAGAAAUGCAUCGUUUCAUGUGAUUAAAAAUUUUUAGUCUAUCCUCAAACAUUCUGCCGCCAGGUGGUACUGCUAGUGCUUGAUUAUUGAUCGAGAUCUCUCUCUCAGUUCGAUGAACCUUCGAUGCUUGAUGAUCUUUACAUCUUGCAUCUAUCUUUGUAGGAUUACUUCGGCCUAUGAAGGAGAGCCUAAAGCUAAAGAUUGCUGGUGAUCUUCUUCCAUGUGGAGUACUAAACUCAAAGGAAGGGUGGCAUCUUUCCUUAUAAUUUACUUCUUCCAUAGCCUUAUUUAAACAAAACUUGAUAUUUCUGCACAUAUUUCACAGACUGGGAGAAGCUGAGAAGGCAAUUCACCAUUACAAGCUAUCACGAAAGGAAACCAGCUCUAAUGACUUCUCACAAGUGCAUGCUCUCCAGACCCAUUUGGCCAAGCGUAAUGAAGCACGUAAGCAAAAGGAUUGGCUCACUGUGUUAAAGGAAUCACAGGCUGCUGUCUCUGCUGGUGCCGAUUCUGCACCACAGGUCUUACAUUACAAUAACCUUUCAGUUUACAUGGUGGCAGAAAUUAUACCUUAUCUUGUUUCAUGUAUUAUCUUUGCCUAAAAGUAUAUAUGCCCAACCUUCCUUAUCUAUUUCCUUGUCCAAAUUGAUUCAUUAUUUUAAAAUGUUAGUUUUUACUUAA
This is a non-coding RNA of Phoenix dactylifera (date palm), 2321 nucleotides long. The record is from RefSeq and is a predicted model, not a curated record. Lineage: Eukaryota; Viridiplantae; Streptophyta; Magnoliopsida; Arecales; Arecaceae.